GAAGAACUAGUGGAAUUACAUAUUAGUUUUGCUACAAAUUCUUGAAUGUUCUUAUCAGAACUUCCAUCUUCAUCUACUGCUUCUUUGGCUAGUUUCUCCCAUUUCUCACUAUUCUUUCUGAUCUCAAUUGCUGUCUCUUCUUCCAUGACUUCUCGUAUACGUAGCUCUAUUUCUUUUCCCGUGACAAUUCCUUCUUCAUCUACCUUAACCCUAACCCCUACCCUCCACACAUCAGCAACAAAUUUUGCAUUAGUUGUUUGAUCUGCCCAUUGUGGCAUUGCCACCAUUGGGACUCCCAUGCUCAAGGCCUCCAGUGUAGAGUUCCACCCACAAUGAGUCAUAAAGCAACCCACUGACUUGUGAGCUAGGACUUCUAGCUGUGGACACCAAGUCACCACUAGACCCUUCUCUGAUGUCUCAUCCAAAAAUCUGCUUGGAAAUUUUUCUUUCUCUGUUUCUCUGACUACCCACAGGAAAUAAUGGCAGCUCAUUUUCAGGCCACAUGCUAUUUCUUCCAUCUGCCUUUCUCCCAAGAUAGACAAGCUUCCAAAGGACACAUAUACUACUGAGCAAGGUUCCCUAGAGUCCAGCCACUUCAUGCAACUUUCUACAUCAGGCUUGAAGAGGCUGAGGCCAUAAUCCUUGUCAUCCUUCACUCUCUUGUCCGUGUACAUUGAUGGGAUUGUUGGUCCUACUGGUUUGAUUGCGCAUUGUCUUGCCAUCAAGUUCAGAACCUCAUCUUCCAAGCUGUUGAAAGUGUUAAAAAAAACCCAAUCGGCUUCUCCAAUAUUGGAAAACUGACUAGCACUUAGUUUUAAUGAGAGCGGGUAGUUUUCCAAGUCG
RNAcentral lists this unclassified non-coding RNA (843 nucleotides) under Hevea brasiliensis (rubber tree). Lineage: Eukaryota; Viridiplantae; Streptophyta; Magnoliopsida; Malpighiales; Euphorbiaceae. The record is from RNAcentral.